Molecule: RNA transcript, 2675 nt
Organism: Lactuca sativa (garden lettuce)
Lineage: Eukaryota; Viridiplantae; Streptophyta; Magnoliopsida; Asterales; Asteraceae
Source: RefSeq, a predicted model, not a curated record
UUAUCUUCCCCCACCGUCUCUCUCUCAGUACUGUUCCUCGGGUGACCAUAUUUACUUCCCGAUCCUUCCACCGUCUUCUUUACCUUCUGGUUCCUUCCACCCGCUUCCAUUUUCCUUCCAGCGCUGCCAACUCCAUUCAAUUCAUUUACAUCAUUCUGCUAGCCUUGCCUCCGAUUUCUUCCGAUCAUCUCUUUACAAAUUCCCUUACUAAUACCCACCUGCUUUCUUUUGCUGUCUUCAACCGUGUUUCUAGAGCCGAUUCCAUCAUCUUUCCUUUCCUACUCUACUGCCUUUUCCCUCAUUUUGUUCUUCUUUUUUAUCUCACCCUCUCUCCUCUGUUAUUUGUUUAGUGGAGAAUCGAAGGGUUCCAGCUUUACCGAUCGUUUGUAACAAUGUCGACCCAUAGGUGCAGGUCCAGGGAGUUUUAGUUAUGCCAGCCACCUGACGACAUCGAAGAACAAGGAAGCACCAACUUUUCCCAUUGAUCUGCAACCUUCGUGAGGUGAAAGUUAUACCCGAUCUACCGAAGAAGGAGAAAUUGCGAAUUUGGAGGUAGUGUGAUCGAUUUUGAGGAGGAAAAAGAGUGUGGCUUGUGCGAAUUGGUGAUCGAAAUCAGAAGAGGGAGAAGAACCUGUUGUCGCUUUGAUCGAUCUUUAUGUUUGCUAACAAAAAUCCAACUUCCUUGAAUUUCACAUACCAGGGGCAAAUCACCACCAAAUUACCCUUGGGCAAAUCACCAAAUUACCCUUGAUUACAAUUUGUGGAGAAAUCUUGAUGCAUAAAUCCACAAUGUGACUGGAAUCCUACGCUUUGAACGCAAAAACAAAGCUGAAAUGCAGUAUUAAAUAUGGGCAUAGGGGUAGCAAAACGGAAUUAGGUUGCCUAGCUCAACAUUAUGAUGCUAUAUACAUGACUUCACCUUGAUUUGGACCAUGGUUCAUUGCAGGUGUUCACUGCUGAAUACUUUCUUAUUUGCAAAAUCUUGGAUAUAAGAAGCCAUAUAUAAGCUUCAUGGAUAGCAUAACAAUGGGGUUUUGGAUUGGUGUAUCUGAUCAUACCUACUACAAAAUCAUAACACAGGCAAACUUAACAUUUUAGCAUUAAAUAUUUAAAUCAUAUCAAAACUCGAAAUCAUACAUUUAUGAUUUUUUUUCUUUUCUACCAUACGGGUGUUCUGGCAAUGCCAAAAAAUGGAAUUGGAUUCUUCCCAAAUUUGUGGUUUGCUUAUAUAGAAGCUAAGAGUCCAGCAGAGUCAAAAUUUUAGUGUUAAAUUUUAAAAUCAAAACUGUAAAUAAUACAUUUUUGACUUUUUUUUCUACCAAAGGACUAUUUUUGCAAUGACAAAAAAUGAAAUCGGAUUGCUUCUAUAUGUCAGUUUUACUUAUGUAGCAGCUAAGGGUUAAGGAUCCAAUAAUAACUACAAAGUGAAAAGACAUAACUAUCCUUCUAAUAUCUAUUUAUGGCGGGUUCUUAUCUUGGUUUGGCUAGCAAUGAAGCUUUAAAUAACACACAAUCAUAUUAUUCAGACAUAUUAUUAGCUUCAUGUUAUCAAAGGUAUGACUAAAAAAAAUUAAAGGUAUGUAUCCAAUUUAUUAAACAAUAUACACUUUCUUUUGUCAUUUGAAUUUUGGUUUGAGCAAAGGCAGAAAAUCGAAUGGAUGUAAGGGAAACUGGAGUCGCAUAUGGUUUGAGCAAAGCUGGAAAAACAAAAAAAAAUGUUGUUAAUGACGCCUUAACAGAAGAUGAGGAGUUGAGGAAGUGAUGAGGUUAGACAGAAAUCAGGAAAAUCAAUCGGUUGGCAAGUGAUAUCCUCAAAUGACGCCGUUUUUCAGGACAAUCAGAUUUCGAUUAAGGAUUUCAAGCAUCAGUAAAAAGAAAUUCUUAUGCCCUUUCUGAUUUUCUUACAUUUGGAUAUAACCUUAUAGAUCAAAAGUCCCACAGUCCUAUGCUUUUUGCUUAAUUGUUUUUCAGUGCUUUUUUUUUUUUCCAACCUCUUUAGUUUGGAAGUUCCAAAAUUAAUUGUGAUUCCUGAAAGGCUGCUCCUUUUUCAUUCAUCUUUGCCACAAGUUUUGACAAGAUUCAUUUUUGUCCUUUUUUGACUUUAUCCCGUCACAAAUAUGAUUUAUUUUCCAUGGUUACAUCUGAUUUUUUUAGUUUAAAUCUUUUUUGUUUAUGUAAUUAUAGUAAAAAUUUUGUGCUAUUACUGAAUGUUUUUGCAAUUUUUGAAUCUUUCAAUAAUUGCCAUUGACAGUUCGUUUAGAACUUGAAUUAUGUUUCUCAAGUCAUUCAAUUUGCAAGUGGAUUUGGAGGAAAAGCUUCCAAUUUGGAAAACAUUUAAGAUUUGAUUCAUAAACAAUGGUUCAUUCACAGGUGUCCACUUUGCUGGGUUGUAUCCCAUCCGUUGUUGGAUAACCAAAAAGGGUUCAAUCACAUCCAUCCAAGCUGUCAAUUUCCCUACUGAUGAUGAUUUCACCAAUCCCACCCCUGCCAUCACUUCUACUCACUUAGAUGCCACUAUUGUACUAUGUCGACGGGUAAAAGGGUAUUUCGGUCAUUUUUUCAUUUGUUGUAUGUUCAGCUCUGUGACACUGAUGGAUUGAAUUCUAAAAAAUGAGUACAUAUAUUUAACCUUAACAUUCAGUGAAAUAUUUGUUUGAAGUUAUUGCACAAUGAAA